GCUUGCAAAACAAAGGGAAUAAAACGAAAAGGAAAAAUUACAACACGUGUUGGGUGUCCUAGGCAUACAGGAUUCCCAGGAGCACUCCUUCCAAUUCAAAAGUCCCGCUUUUUAAACAUUCUUAAGGUUCAACCCUGUUUACGUCAUAGAAGAGGCGUUCUCCUCUCCCUGACUGGCUGUGUCGUGCUGGGAGGUGGAGUGUCCAGCAGCACGGCGGCUUCCAGGACCAGCCACGUGGCAUAAGGGGUUUCCUUACCAAUAUUCAUUUUACAGUUCCCUAUUCCCGUCCUCAUGUUUCCCUGGCACUGGUUCCAGGCUGAAUCCGGCGUCUUACAACUCCGCGGUACGCCUGAUAGGCUUGCACCUCUCGAGGCUGAUCCAAUCCUGCACAUGUAAGGACACCUGGACAGGAAUUCAUUGCAUCUGUUCACGUUCAAAUGUCCUUGACUGGAGAAAGAGUUCAUGGGCAGGCUGCUACCAGGCUUGCUGAGCACGAAGCCAGCCCGCUUUGCUCCUCAGUCGGAUAUUCGGAUGAGCAGCAAUAAAUGCAGCAGGCAAAGAGCUGCUUCACAGGAGCCUCAGAGGAAACCCCUUCUAUGGAUUAAAAUGUCACCCGAAAUCUGAGCCACAGAAAACCCUGAACCAGUCUGGAUCUUAGUAUUUUAUCUAAAAUCCAACUUCCUGAAAAAGCAAUAUGCCAGCUAAUUGGAGCUCUGAAUUUGAUUAAGCUGUGACACUCCACUCACAGGGCUCCUGCCUCGCCCGCCUUCCCUCAGGGCUGCAGGCAGGGCACACCACCAGCACCAGGACAUCUUGGCUGGCUUCAACAGACACAGAAACCCCCUUACCUACUCAGGAGUGCAAAGCCAUAAAUCUUCCAGUAUCUUAAACAGUGGUUAUUGGUGUGGGAUUUUUUUGAAAAUGUAAUUUUCUUUGAAACAAAUGAAAUGACUAAUUAUCUAACUAUGUUACAAGGGAGCAUAUAUUAGCAAGGCAAUAUUUAAUAUUUAAGGAUUAAGUUCUAUUAAUACAGUUCAUUUUUUAUCAAAAAUGUCAUGAAGACAGAGCAAAGAAUCAAAAAAUUAUUUUCAAUGAAAGUAUCAUCAGUAACUGAAAACUUAAUAUUCACCAGCAGUUGUGCAGCUCAUUAUUUUGUUUUCCUACUUCAUUCAUUUGUUCUACAAUAUUUUUGUAUUAGUUCACAUUGUAUAAAUGUCCCAGUAUAAUUUCUGUUUAUUUCACUGACUUAUGCAACUAAAAACGCAUACAUAUAUAUAUGAAUAUAUUCCUGAAUUAAAAACAUAUCUUUGCGCACUGAUGACUGAUGACAUAUAUCUGCUCCUCCAAAUAUUUAUUCUGCUGAUUAUCUAGUUUAUGACUGUUCAGGAUAGCCAAUUCAGCAAGUUAAAAAAACAAACCAAAUGAGCUUACUCACAGAAGCAGCUGACAUGGCAACUCAUAGAAGAUGGGAAACUUAUCUUUGAUUCCCUAAAUGUUCCUCAACAAGUUCUCCAUGCAUCUGUGGUUAACAGAGUAGGUCUGAUCCCAGACCAAAACCAAAGGGAAUCAGUGAGAUGUUUCUCUAGUGCUUUCAGGGAGGUACAGGAUUGCACACCCCAACACAGCUGUCAGUGCCUCCCCCAAACAAAUCAAUUUUUCCUAUAGACCAGGAAAGGAAGAAAAAAACCCUGUGGUGAUUUAUUUGGUCCUAAUGACAGAACAGCCCUCCUGAAAUUCAUGUUUGGGAGCACUGUACCAUGGGAAUUGUCAAAAACACAGCCACAGAAUUUUUUGCCUACAUUUAUACUGUAUUAUUAGUAUAUUAUACUAACAUAUAGUAUAUAUGUAUAUAUAUACUAUAUAUAGUAUAUUUAUACUAUAUUAUCCACAUUUUCUCUU
Molecule: long non-coding RNA, 1899 nt
Organism: Lepidothrix coronata (blue-crowned manakin)
Lineage: Eukaryota; Metazoa; Chordata; Aves; Passeriformes; Pipridae
Exons: 3
Source: RefSeq, a predicted model, not a curated record